GAUGAAGAACGUAGCGAAACGCGAUAAGUAAUGUGAAUUGCAGAAUCCAGUGAAUCAUCGAAUCUUUGAACGCACAUUGCGCCCGCCAGCAUUCUGGCGGGCAUGCCUGUUCGAGCGUCAUUUCAACCCUCGACCUCCCCUUGGGGAGGUCGGCGUUGGGGACCGGCAGCACACCGCCGGCCCUGAAAUGGAGUGGCGGCCCGUCCGCGGCGACCUCUGCGCAGUAAUACAGCUCGCACCGGGACCCCGACGCGGCCACGCCGUAAAACACCCAACUUCUGAACGUUGACCUCGAAUCAGGUAGGACUACCCGCUGAACUUAAGCAUAUCUAAGCGGAGGA
This 341-nucleotide unclassified non-coding RNA is filed under the name soil metagenome. RNAcentral's name for it is "partial contains 5.8S ribosomal RNA, internal transcribed spacer 2, and large subunit ribosomal RNA". The stretch from base 1 to 120 matches the Rfam family "5.8S ribosomal RNA", at positions 35 to 154 of the family's 154-position model. The record is from RNAcentral.